AUCUCUGUGGUGUGUAGGGCACUGAUCUCUGUGGUGUUUAGGGUACUGAUCUCUGUGAUGUGUAGGGCACUGAUCUCUGUGGUGUGUAGGGUACUGAUCUUUAUUGUGUUCCCAGGCCCGUCUUCCACUGAAGUGAAGUCUGGUCCGAUGACAUACUGCUGUGGGGAAAUCUCUCUGGGUAAGAGCCCAUACCCUAAUGUUGUGAUGGACACCUGAUUCUACAAGAUUAUCAAAGAUGGGAUGCCACGUCUCAUGACCAGACUUUGCCCUUCCAGAGAUGUACACUAUAAUGGAGAUGUGCUAGAACCUGGAGCCAAUAGUGUGUCCAUACUUCAGUAACAUUGGUCAGCUUAUACAGAGGCUACUGCUUGACCAGCCAGACCAGACGACACCAUCCGGUAUACUUCUGGCCCUUCUUUGGACACUGUGUUAACAAACCUCCAAACGAGCUUCAAUGCCAUACUACACUCCUUCCGUGGCCUCCAACUGCUCUUAAAUGCAAGUAAAACUAAAUGCAUGCUCUUCAACCAAUUGCUGCCCGCACCCGCCCGCCCGACUAGCAUCACUUCUCUGGACGGUUCUGACUUAGAAUAUGUGGACAACUACAAAUACCUAGGUGUCUGAUUAGACUGUAAACUCUCCUUCCAGACUCACAUUAAGCAUCUCCAAUCCAAAUACUUAUAUCUCCCUCUCUAACUUUAAGCAUCAGCUGUCAGAGUAUCUUACCGAUCACUGUACCUGUACACAGCCAAUCUGUAAAAAGCACACCCAACUACCUCAUCCCCAUAUUGUAUUUUUUUUGUUGCUCUUUUGCACCCCAGUAUCUUUACUUGCACAUCAAAAUUGUAAUUAUUGUAAAUUGUCAUUAUUUCACCACUAUGGCCUAUUUAUUGCCUUACGUCCCUAAUCUUACUACAUUUGCACACACUGUAUUUUGUGUUAUUGACUGUACGCUUGUUUACUCCAUGUGUAACUCUGUGUUGUUGUUUGUGUCCCACUGCUUUGCUUUAUCUUGGCCAGGUCGCAAUUGUAAAUGAGUACUUGUUCUCAACUGGCCUACCUGUUUAAAUAAAGAGUAAGAACUUGGAAAUCUGACUACAGACAUUGGGCAUGUACAGAGAGUCACAGUUUCCAUCCGAGUUGACGGAGAUGACACCCACAGCCUUCCCAUUGAGCACCAAAGGACCACUAGAAUCCCCCUGUGGUUACAUACCAGUCAAAAUGGUCCCAUUUCGGUGCAUGUAUGAUGUAGGAUACACAUGUAUGAACAUCACAUUGUCUUCCUACAAUUUUCAAAGUCAAUGUUAUAUUUAUUUGGAGUUAAACAGCACUGGCAAGCCGUUCUUGGUCAGGUAUUCACCUGUACAGAUGACCUUGGGAGGAAGUUUACGCCACUCCUUCUGGCAGACAUUCAGGACAAUGGUAGUCAUGUCCACCACUUGAAGGUCAUCAACAAGGCACUUGGUGUUGGGAUUGAUGACUUGGUCCUAGAAUUUUCCCUGUUUUCACAGCUUUAUUUGAUUUAGCCUUCUUAGACAGCUUGAAACACAUGUGUAGGCCAAAACGUGGGAAUCUGUAGUAUUAGCAAUUACUGAUGAAUGCAUAUGACCUAUUAGGAUGUACACUUAGUAAUAGUGUAAAUAAUAAUAUAAAGACAAAAUUAUAUUGAUACAAAUAUGUCACUAUAGGCCUACCUUCAGAAUCAUGAUGUCAUUACCAGUGUCAACAUCUUCAUAGUUGGUUGCAUUUGUUUUCCACAUUGUAUCUGACAGAGAUGGUACUGCAGGGUAUUCUUCUGUGCUUUUUUCCCCCAUUGAUGAGAUAGUAAAAGUGGCCACAAUGAACUAAACGGUAAGGUAAUAGGCAUUUGUUCAGAUCUCAUUGAUGCCCAUCAAGUUCAGGAGAGAGAAUUGACCCAGAUAGGUCAGGGGUACAGUAAGUAGGUUGUUUGUGGUGUGCAUUGUGCUUGGAGAGCUUGUCAGGAAUACCUGAUUCACCCUUGGCCCCUUUGUAUACACAAGAUGGUCCAUCUGAGGACAGCUGUGGUUUCACUUCUAUGAUUACUAUUUAUGAUGUUUCCAUUGAUCCUUGUAUGGUUUUCCUGUAAAGCCAAGGUAUGUGUUUUCUGCAUUUACCAUAACUCUGUCGACCCUUUUGCAUAUGAAUAGGUGGAGGGUUAUCAUGGGGACCUUAUGUCAUUUAACAUUUAAGUCAUUUAGCAGACGCUCUUAUCCAGAGCGACUUACAAAUUGGGUGACACACUGAUUGUUGCCAAUCCUCCUUGUUGUCGUGUUGAUGACCUUAUACUGUUUGUAUAUGAUUGGCUGGUGGUAAUUUAGAGUGUAUGAAUACUCAUAGUUGCAUGCAGUGCUGCAUUUACCUCAUAUAGGUCAACUCAACUUCCUCUCCCUCAUGCAAGAGCUGUGUCUUCUCCUGGUUGAUGCUCUCCUGUGUUACCAUGCCAACUAUGAACAACCUUUGGUUUACAAAGGCUGACGACAUUCUUGAUGCUUUGAAAGACACAGUGACAGUCAUAAGACCUUGCCACUCUGUGGUCCUGCACUAGAGGAAGAGGGGAGGGGGCAUAUCUUCUUACAAUGAAAAACUAGUAGAGAUAGGCCUGCACAGUGCACCUAUUCAGAACAGCAUGUAAACUACGAAAGGGCCAUACCUUUCUAGUCACUGUAGAAACAACAGUAAAUCACAUUUUAAAAUGUAAUGUUAGUUUAA
Long non-coding RNA from Oncorhynchus nerka (sockeye salmon), 2730 nucleotides. RefSeq lists it as uncharacterized. The transcript has 5 exons. Lineage: Eukaryota; Metazoa; Chordata; Actinopteri; Salmoniformes; Salmonidae. The record is from RefSeq and is a predicted model, not a curated record.